Ruditapes philippinarum (Manila clam) is the source of this 867-nucleotide long non-coding RNA. RefSeq lists it as uncharacterized. Lineage: Eukaryota; Metazoa; Mollusca; Bivalvia; Venerida; Veneridae. The record is from RefSeq and is a predicted model, not a curated record. The transcript has 2 exons.
UUACAUUUCUUUGCUAUAUCAACCUUACUCGGACAGGCUUUCAGAUCAUUGAUGGAUGUAGUGUUUAGCAGUGGGUGUGUUUGUUUUACAUAGAAGUUGAACUUAUGGCAUCAGAAAUAUUUUCAUUGCAAGAGGAAUAUUAGUAAGGAAGUAGUAGAUUUUGAAAAAAAAAUAUGAUAUAUAUUUGAUAAAUCUAGUAAUUCUGACAGAUAAAGCUUAUCAUAUUUUGUAAUGCAUUGCCUUAUUUGUUUUGUAGGAUCCUUUUGAUGUAGGUGUACAUAAGCAGACCAAUGACAGUCAGGGAACUAGAGAAAACCCUAUUCUUGUUCCAACAGUUGAGGGAUACAGGCUUGUAGGAUGUGUUUGUGAGGAGGAUUUGACAGAGGUGUGCUGGAUGACCAUUCAUCAUGGAACUAAGAGGCAGUGUAAUUGUGGAAAUUGGUUCCAGUGUGUGCAAAUUCCUGGAGCUGUAGCCCAUUAAUAUAAUAAAACUUCUCUAUUCUUUAGUAAACAAUUAUAAAUGACAUUGUAUGUAUGAUGAUAUCAAUUUUGAAUAUUCAAAUCAUCAGGUUUUGUUUUGCAAAAAAAAAGGAACAGAAAAUAUAUGUCAAAAUUUAUAAAUUUGUUGUUUUGAAAUACUAAGAAAAUUUGGCAAGUUGUAUCAGAUGUCAAUUUCCCCUGGUUUUCUUUGGUCUUGAAAGUUGGCAAAAGUUUAAAGUUAUUGUAUUUAUUUUUAAUCAUCAGCUAUAUUGUGAGCCAUUUUUUUCUCUUUUUUGACUGAGGAAUUAGAAAAUAGCAUAAUUAUUCUGUUUGAUUAGGGAUGUGCUGUUUGAAAAAAGGAAUUAAAAUAUGAUUUAAAUAUAAAAA